RNAcentral lists this ribosomal RNA (375 nucleotides) under uncultured bacterium. RNAcentral's name for it is "bacterial SSU rRNA". It matches the Rfam family "Bacterial small subunit ribosomal RNA", at positions 60 to 449 of the family's 1533-position model. The record is from RNAcentral.
AGUCGAACGCACCCGCUUCGGCGGGUGAGUGGCGCACGGCUGAGUAACACGUGGGAACCUGCCCCCCGGUGGGGGAUAACGCGACGAAAGUUGCGCUAAUCCCGCAUACGUCCUUCGGGGGAAAGCGCAGUGCGCGCCGGGGGAGGGGCCUGCGGCCCAUCAGGUCGUUGGUGGGGUAAUGGCCUACCAAGCCGAUGACGGGUAGCUGGUCUGGGAGGAUGACCAGCCAGACUGGGACUGAGACACGGCCCAGACUCCUAAGUCAUACGGGAGGCAGCAGCAAGGAAUUUUCGGCAAUGGGCGCAAGCCUGACCGAGCAACGCCGCGUGCGGGAUGACGGCCUUCGGGUUGUAAACCGCUUUUCGGGGGGACGAC